AAUACAUGAAAUCGUACUCUCUGUUUAAUUAUAAAAUAUAAUAUAAUUUAAGGAAUUUAAAUUUGUAUCUCUCUCUAAGUUAUUAUCCAGUAAUUUACAUUUUAUAUACGAAAGAGACAUAAGGAACAAGCCAUAGUUAAUUAAAUGUAUUUUAAAGAACAAAGAAAUAAUUCCACUUAUUAAAGCAUAAUUUGUCUACGAAAUUUGGUAAUUUAUUUUAUAAUCAUUCUGUAUGCAUAUACAAGGUGAAUCGAUGUUUGUGUCUGAAAUAUUUUUGUUAUUUUUAAUGAUAUAUGAAAACUUUUAACGAUAAAUCGCACGAUGUAGAAAAGAAUAUACCCACAGAUCUAUAACUAUAACAAUUCAAAAUGAUGUCAAAAGAUAUGAAAAUACUUGACACUUCUUUAUGUGAAACUAUAUGAAUUUUCGUACCUAAAUUUUUUCAUUAUUCAUUAUUUACAUAAAAUAUUUCAACUGAUAUAAGAAGUACGUUUGAAUAAAGAUUUGGUUACAAAUAAUUUAGUCGCCUGCGUAAAAACGGCACUUUUUAUCGAUUAAGAUAUGACCUUAUUAAGAUUGAAAUAAUCGAAUACGUUAAACUAAAAUACGACGCGUGCGUUGCGCUCACCGUUUAUCCCCGUUUAAUCUUCAAAAACUCCACGUGCAAAAAAUUGAAGUAAUUUUCAUACACUGUGUUAAUCUUAGGAAUUCUUAUAUUUCUUGAAGACAACAAAAUUGUUUCAGAUGCAACGUUUAGAGAUGAUGAAUCACUCUGUAUAGAUACAUGAGGUAUGUACACACUCGCGCGUACGUAAAUAUACUUUAAAAGAAAUAUAUAUAAAUAUAUAAUUUAUUAUAAUGAUUGUAUAAAUAAAGUAUACAAACUAAAUUGCAGUAAUGCCACGUUAUUAUCACACCUAUGGAAGAUUGUGAAAUGUAAAAUUUGUAAAUAAGCCUAUUUGAAAAUAUAAAUAGUGAAUCAUUUCUUCAUCGAGUUGUGAAUCUUCCCAAGCUCUUAAAAGAGGUUUCAAGAAUACAAUAAGGAAGAUAUGCAGAAAUUAUAAAAAUACCUUUAUUUUUUUCUUCACUACAAACUUUACAAUGUUAUUAGUAACGUAUUAAUUUGUGUUAUUAUACAAUUUCAUUAGAAAUAGAACUGAGUAUUUAACAAACGAAUACUUUAUCAAAUUGAUAGAGGUAAAGGUAAGAGUGGCAAAUAAAAAUCACAAAAUUUUUCUUCUCACAAUGCGAAUUGUAUGUACAUAAUAUAUUACCGUCUAUUCAAUAUUAACAUUUAGUCGCGAAAAUAUUACUAAACAUACAUUAACACACUCAUAUAACUCGUUUUACAAUAUUAUAAAUUAAUACAAAUUAUUCCCAUCGUUGUACGUUACUUGCACAUAUUUUAUUCCGCAUUACUUUAUAUGCAAUUCAAUUUUUUUUCUGUUCUAAUAUACUUUGUCACAUUUGAAAGAAAACUCUCUUCUGAAAACUAUUUUCAAUCUUGUCUGGAUUUUAAACACACUUUAAUAUCAUGUUGAACAAAAUCGUUGUUAUUUAAAAUAAAUUAGUUUGUCGGACUAGUGUUUCUACUUCCCUUUACAUUUUGUUUUGUACAUGAAGUAAACUUUAUAUGUGUAUUAUCUUACAUCAUUGAUUUAAUGUAUAAAUUAUUAAAGCUCGUACAUAUAUAUUGUGGACCUACAUCCUAAAAUUUACUCGUUCGUGGCAGUUUUGCGCAAGACCGGUACCAAAGCAGAUUUGAAUAAUCACGGAAACCAGAAGAAUCCUAAUAACCCAAAAUAUAAACCCGGUACCAAAGCAGAUUUGGAUAAUCACGGAAACCAGAAGAAUCCUAAUAACCAAAUAACAAAAUAUAUGAAAGCCAAAAAGUAAACAUGUAUUCAUGUCUUACAAAAAUGGCAUUGUACUUGUAAUAUACGUGCCUUAAAUAUAUGUGACAUGAUAUUUUAAUAUUGUAAAA
Molecule: long non-coding RNA, 1984 nt
Organism: Vollenhovia emeryi
Lineage: Eukaryota; Metazoa; Arthropoda; Insecta; Hymenoptera; Formicidae
Exons: 2
Source: RefSeq, a predicted model, not a curated record